GGGCCCGCACAAGCGGUGGAGCAUGUGGUUUAAUUCGAUGCAACGCGAAAAACCUUACCAGGCCUUGACAUCCUGAGAAUUCGGUAGAGAUACCUUAGUGCCUUCGGGAACUCAGUGACAGGUGUUGCAUGGCUGUCGUCAGCUCGUGUCGUGAGAUGUUGGGUUAAGUCCCGUAACGAGCGCAACCCUUAUCCUUAUUUGCCAGCACGUAAUGGUGGGAACUCUAAGGAGACUGCCGGUGACAAACCGGAGGAAGGAGAGGAUGACGUCAAGUCAUCAUGGCCCUUACGGCCUGGGCUACACACGUGCUACAAUGGAAAGUACAGAGGGCAGCGAUGCCGCGAGGUGGAGCAAA
Molecule: ribosomal RNA, 355 nt
Filed under: uncultured bacterium
Lineage: Bacteria
Description: bacterial SSU rRNA
Rfam family: Bacterial small subunit ribosomal RNA
Source: RNAcentral